GCUUCACUUUAUGUACAUUGACACAGCAUAUCUCCACAUUUGUCAUUCCCCUGCCUUUCAAGAAAACUGGAUUUGAUUCUUCAUUCUUACAAAGUGGUCUUCUCCAAGGACCAGAGUAUUGAUUCACCAACUUUCCUUUUCUACUGACACCAUCUGAGGCUCUCCAAAGUGAUUCCUCUUCAGAAUUGUGGAUUUCUGGUUCUCAAAGCUUAGGAUCUACCCCAACUGAUCCAAGGGUCCAGAAUAUUUUCUUCCCAGCCAAAGAGACUAUCAGAUUUCUCCAAGAACGGGAUCAUAUCAUCUACUUCUGUAUCUCCACACAUUGUACAAACUUCUGCAAAUAUCUAAAACAAAGUAA
Canis lupus familiaris (dog) is the source of this 358-nucleotide long non-coding RNA. RefSeq lists it as uncharacterized. The record is from RefSeq and is a predicted model, not a curated record. NCBI's taxonomy places the organism in Eukaryota, Metazoa, Chordata, Mammalia, Carnivora, Canidae. The transcript is spliced from 3 exons.